This 2525-nucleotide long non-coding RNA is filed under the name Malus domestica (apple). RNAcentral's name for it is "long non-coding RNA (MDOM_LNC009359)". Lineage: Eukaryota; Viridiplantae; Streptophyta; Magnoliopsida; Rosales; Rosaceae. The record is from RNAcentral.
CUUCUAAUUAGUUCCCUUACCUUUCCCUUGUGAUUGGGUCGAAUUCCCACCUGGUGGGAAUUCAUUUAAUUAAAGGAUUAAGGUAAAAAUAAGGAAAAACAACUUUGAACGGCUAUAACUAUACUGUUAUAAUCCGGACUCGCAAACGGCUUUCGCCGAUGUGUUCAUACCAAUGAGCACUACUCAAAUACGCUAAAAGAAUAAGUCAUACGUUUCUCUAGACGAUGGUCAACGGAAGCCAAAGUCAUUGCCUCUAGGGCAUUUUCGUCAAUUCUCUCAAUUAAAAUAAAUAAAAACGUAAAUUUACGGACGGGUUGUCACAACGGAUGAGAUUGAGAUAAAGAAAUUUAAUCCAACGAACGAUUCAUAAGUGAUGAAUUUAACCUUGUCACAAUUUGAACAUUUAAGGUUGAAGGGUUUAUAAAAAAAAAUUUAAUAUAGCAUGUCCAAAAAUCAACUUAAGAAAAGUUAACACACAAAAAAUAAAAUAAAGUAAAAUAAAUCAUCGCUUAAUCAAAUUACUACAUAAAUAAAUAUAUAUAGCCCCAUAUAGAGCACAAAAGAUGUAGUCCCUCAUUGUGAGAGAUUCUUUUAUAAAGGUCCAAAGAUUCCUCAGAGCUCUAAAAUGGGCUAUAUCCACCACUUUUCCAGCCCCAGAGAUUCUUUUAUAACUGCUCCAAGCCUCCCCUUUCACCUUCUUUUUUACUGCAGCACUCCAAAAUUUUUACAGGCAGUACGAAAAUGCUCCUAAACUUAAACGAAAAUAAUUGAAAUCAAUAAAAAGAAACUAUAUAAAUUGAUUCAUACCAUAUUUGAAGGAUUAAAAACUUUAAAAUCACCAUUCAUCUUUUCAAAAGAGCUUAUUUUUCUCUCUAACAAUGUCCUAGAGUUCUAGUCGGAAUACAAUCGUAGGAAAAAUAUUGCAUGAAGAUAAGGGUUUGGUUAUUAAAUGAGAGUUUAUUGCUAAGUUUGGUUUAGUGGUAAUUUCAUCUUUUAUUUGAUGGUAAUUGUAUAAUAGGGCAAGAAAGACAAUUUAUAUUUGUAAUUUAAGUUGGAUGUAGAAUGAGGUUAUACGGGGUUUAAUAAAAUUAAUCUUGAUUAAUUAAUGAGGUACUUGUCGAUUUCUCUUCGAACUUGCUAGGAGUUGCUAAUUCCGCUGAACUUUAAUUUUAGCUCAUUACCCCCCUUGAAUUUUAAUAGUUAACCAAUUUCUCCUAUGAUGUUAGAUUUUUGGAAAUUUCCAUCCAAUUUUAUAUUUAUUUUAGUCACAUGACAAAUAUUUGAGGGCAAUAAAGUAACUUAAUCUCUAAUGUGGAUAUCAAAUUAUUUUUUUUCUUUCUCUUCUGGUAGUUCACUAUGUGUACUUACUGUUUGAACUAGCCAUGAGAGUCCAAUUAACAAUUGCAAAGUAUUGGCUCUACGUCCAAUUUACCAAAACAAAAUUACAUGUUCGCCCUUAUACAGUUGUUAUGUGUUGUCCACAUGACCAAGAUGGAUGAAAAAUUGGCUAAAAAAUUCAAAACUAACGCUAGAGGAAAAUUAGUUAUUUAUAAAAGUUUAUGGGGUGCUUGGUUAAAUUUAAAGUUUAGAUAGAAUUGACAGCUUUAUAAAAGUUAGAGAGAAAAUCGACAAAUAUAUCUUUAAUUAAAAGAAAGAAAACUAGAAGUUUUCCAAAAAAAAAAAGAAAAAAAAAUUAGAAUAAAAUGAAAAGGAAAAGGAAGAUCAUUUAGUUGUCAGUGAUUAUAUGGAAUUAAUUGACUGAUGUGUCAUUAACUUAAAUUAUGUUUUGCUGUAUUUGAUGUUCCUAAAAAGUUCUAAACCAAAGUCUUACAACUUUCUUUGGAAGAAGAAAAAGGUUUUACAACUCUCAUUUCAACAUGCAAGUUAGGAGACGGGAAAUUCUAAGAGGAUCACAUACAUGUGUAUGGCUAGGUUGAUAACUUGAUAGCUUUAUAAAGGGAAAAUGAUUUCAAAUAACCUUAUUAACAAACAAAAUUAGGUAACUAAAUGAUUCAAUUAUGUCUAUGCAUUCUUGCGUUUCGAUUUCUACUAAUUGUCAUUCCCAGCAUUUAACUAUUUAACUCACUAACGCUAUUGUUCUAUGAAAAAAAAUAAUAAUAAUAAAAAAGGGUAAAUAAAUAACCUUGACUACAUUAAUCGACUUUCUAAACCUUGGCAUUAUUUGUGAAAUAUGGUAAUAAGUUUGCCACUGGAUAUCUCCCGUCAAUUGUUACUACAUUCCGAAAUGAGUUGGAAUUUUUAUUUGUAUUUUUUUUAUCUUAAUCAUGUCCUGGAUAUCCUCGGUAAGUUCUCAUGCUUGUUAAUUAAAAACAUUCUAUAAGUUUUUAUUGACCCUAAAAAUUAUAAUUUCUACAUGGUCAGUAGACUGAGGAAUUAUUGAGCUAAUUACGUACUUGUUGUGAACGCGGGUAUGCUAACUCACGACUGAGGUUGAUCAGGUGAGUAAAGUAGUUGUGGUGGUGGUGUCGAACGCGCUGCUGACUUCUGCACUUAGCGACUACGGC